AUAUAGGGUGUGUUAUGUGGGCAUGUUCCCAUGGCCUCCCAUAGUAUGGCAUGUGAGAGCUAAUUGUAGCCUGGAACCAUUUCCUGGCCUUCUUGCCCAUAGGCUGCAGAUGUGGAAGCAGAUUGCACAGCA
RNAcentral lists this small nucleolar RNA (132 nucleotides) under Procavia capensis (Cape rock hyrax). Its description in RNAcentral is "Small nucleolar RNA SNORA42/SNORA80 family (ENSPCAG00000019452.1)". Lineage: Eukaryota; Metazoa; Chordata; Mammalia; Hyracoidea; Procaviidae. The record is from RNAcentral.